Molecule: ribosomal RNA, 591 nt
Filed under: uncultured bacterium
Lineage: Bacteria
Description: bacterial SSU rRNA
Rfam family: Bacterial small subunit ribosomal RNA
Source: RNAcentral
CCUACGGGAGGCAGCAGUGGGGAAUAUUGGACAAUGGGCGAAAGCCUGAUCCAGCAAUGCCGCGUGAGUGAUGAAGGCCUUAGGGUUGUAAAGCUCUUUUACCAGGGAUGAUAAUGACAGUACCUGGAGAAUAAGCUCCGGCUAACUCCGUGCCAGCAGCCGCGGUAAUACGGAGGGAGCUAGCGUUGUUCGGAAUUACUGGGCGUAAAGCGUACGUAGGCGGUUAUUCAAGUCAGAGGUGAAAGCCUGGAGCUCAACUCCAGAACUGCCUUUGAAACUAGAUAGCUAGAAUCUUGGAGAGGUGAGUGGAAUUCCGAGUGUAGAGGUGAAAUUCGUAGAUAUUCGGAAGAACACCAGUGGCGAAGGCGACUCACUGGACAAGUAUUGACGCUGAGGUACGAAAGCGUGGGGAGCAAACAGGAUUAGAUACCCUGGUAGUCCACGCCGUAAACGAUGAUAACUAGCUGUUCGGGCUCUACGAGCUUGAGUGGCGCAGCUAACGCAUUAAGUAUCCGCCUGGGGAUACGGUCGCAAGNUUAAAACUCAAAGGAAUUGACGGCUGAGACGNGCGAGACGACGACGAGGGAGAGG